Long non-coding RNA from Cloeon dipterum, 407 nucleotides. RefSeq lists it as uncharacterized. The record is from RefSeq and is a predicted model, not a curated record. Lineage: Eukaryota; Metazoa; Arthropoda; Insecta; Ephemeroptera; Baetidae. The transcript is spliced from 5 exons.
UCGCAGGAAGAAAUGGACCUCUAAAGCCCUGAAAAAUAAGGUAGAGAAAUUGACAACUAGAGCUACAGUCAAGCGAACGACCACAAUUCCAAAAAACGAGGGUCCAUUUCAAUUUUGCAAUAACUACAAUCGGAUAAAAAAGAGCGUACAAGACACGGCAAUAAGUGAAGAUAUCAUCGUAGGAAAGCGUGACGGAAUAACCGAAUUAUUUGACGUUCGAGACCAGCAAAUGGGAGGAUACAGCAAACAAGGCACAAAAGGAUUGAGAUAUACCUUUGACGGCGCUGAAACAGUCGAGUACGACAGAGCGGUUGAGGCGUGUUUCUACCGGAAACUGCAUCUGCUGGCGCUCGACACGCCUGAUGAAAUCGCCAAUAUAUAUUAUGUCUUAGGGACGCCUCUAUAUG